RNAcentral lists this ribosomal RNA (497 nucleotides) under uncultured bacterium. RNAcentral describes it as "partial 16S ribosomal RNA". It matches the Rfam family "Bacterial small subunit ribosomal RNA", at positions 28 to 507 of the family's 1533-position model. The record is from RNAcentral.
GAUGAACGCUGGCGGCGUGCCUAAUACAUGCAAGUCGAGCGAACAGAUAAGGAGCUUGCUCCUUUGACGUUAGCGGCGGACGGGUGAGUAACACGUGGAUAACCUACCUAUAAGACUGGGAUAACUUCGGGAAACCGGAGCUAAUACCGGAUAACAUAUUGAACCGCAUGGUUCAAUAGUGAAAGGCGGCUUUGCUGUCACUUAUAGAUGGAUCCGCGCCGUAUUAGCUAUUUGGUAAGUUAACGGCUUACCAAGGCAACGGUACGUAGCCGACCUGAGAGGGUGAACGGCCACACUGGAACUGAGACACGGUCCAGACUCCUACGGGAGGCAGCAGUAGGGAAUCUUCCGCAAUGGGCGAAAGCCUGACGGAGCAACGCCGCGUGAGUGAUGAAGGUCUUCGGAUCGUAAAACUCUGUUAUCAGGGAAGAACAAAUGUGUAAGUAACUGUGCGCAUCUUGACGGUACCUGAUCAGAAAGCCACGGCUAACUACGUG